This 498-nucleotide ribosomal RNA is filed under the name uncultured bacterium. Its description in RNAcentral is "partial 16S ribosomal RNA". It matches the Rfam family "Bacterial small subunit ribosomal RNA", at positions 30 to 523 of the family's 1533-position model. The record is from RNAcentral.
AUUGAACGCUGGCGGCAUGCCUUACACAUGCAAGUCGAACGGUAACAGGUCUUCGGAUGCUGACGAGUGGCGAACGGGUGAGUAAUACAUCGGAACGUGCCUAGUAGUGGGGGAUAACUACUCGAAAGAGUGGCUAAUACCGCAUGAGAUCUACGGAUGAAAGCAGGGGAUCGCAAGACCUUGUGCUACUAGAGCGGCCGAUGGCAGAUUAGGUAGUUGGUGGGAUAAAGGCUUACCAAGCCGACGAUCUGUAGCUGGUCUGAGAGGACGAUCAGCCACACUGGGACUGAGAAACGGCCCAGACUCCUACGGGAGGCAGCAGUGGGGAAUUUUGGACAAUGGGCGCAAGCCUGAUCCAGCAAUGCCGCGUGCAGGAUGAAGGCCUUCGGGUUGUAAACUGCUUUUGUACGGAACGAAAAGCCCCGGGUUAAUACCCUGGGGUCAUGACGGUACCGUAAGAAUAAGCACCGGCUAACUACGUGCCAGCAGCCGCCGUAA